This 87-nucleotide transfer RNA is filed under the name Lentisphaerae bacterium ADurb.BinA184. RNAcentral's name for it is "tRNA-Leu". It matches the Rfam family "tRNA". Rfam says of the family: Transfer RNA (tRNA) molecules are approximately 80 nucleotides in length. The record is from RNAcentral. Lineage: Bacteria; Pseudomonadati; Lentisphaerota.
GCCAGAGUGGCGGAACCGGCAGACGCGCCAGACUCAAAAUCUGGUGACCGUAAGGUCGUGAGGGUUCGAGUCCCUCCUCUGGCACCA